GAUCAUGGCUCAAAUUGAACGCUGGCGGCAGGCUUAACACAUGCAAGUCGAGCGGAGAGAGGUAGCUUGCUACUGAUCUUAGCGGCGGACGGGUGAGUAAUACUUAGGAAUCUGGCUAUUAGUGGGGGACAACAUUUCGAAAGGGAUGCUAAUACCGCAUACGUCCUACGGGAGAAAGCAGGGGAUCUUCGGACCUUGCGCUAAUAGAUGAGCCUAAGUCGGAUUAGCUAGUUGGUGGGGUAAAGG
Molecule: ribosomal RNA, 246 nt
Filed under: uncultured bacterium
Lineage: Bacteria
Description: partial 16S ribosomal RNA
Rfam family: Bacterial small subunit ribosomal RNA
Source: RNAcentral